RNAcentral lists this long non-coding RNA (253 nucleotides) under Elaeis guineensis (African oil palm). RNAcentral's name for it is "long non-coding RNA (EGUI_LNC033596)". Lineage: Eukaryota; Viridiplantae; Streptophyta; Magnoliopsida; Arecales; Arecaceae. The record is from RNAcentral.
UUGCUCCCAACUACCCUUUGAGCUCUAGAAGAGUGUCAAAUGCUAAAAAAUUAUUUCAAAAAUACAAUACAUUCGGAUCAUGAUCUUAAAUCAACAUCUGAAAAUUUUUCAUGAAUAGAGGCUUAGCAGCCCCCCUACAAUUUCAUGAGAGUGUUAGCAUGAGUUAGAAAUCUCAAAUGAUUUUAGAGUUUACCUUUUCUUGAUUAUCAACUAGGUCAUCCUACUCAAGAUUACCACCCAUUGGUCAGCCUCU